AUGCUGCUAUGUGGUUCUGACCUGCUCGAGUCAUUCAGCAAGCCAGGGGUAUGGAUUCCAGAUCAGUCAAAGGAAGAAGUCGAACCUGAAGAAGUCCUCGGAAGAAUCACAGCUGCGUGUGCCCGGCUGGUUCAGGGGACGCGACAGGCGCUGGCGCCCUGCCCCGGCGGGCGUGUGCGCGGCGGCGUGGGUGCCAGUGCAGGGUGGGCCCGGCGGUGCGGGUGCCGGGGCAGGCUCUCUCCUGGGCACUGGCGAUCUCGCAGGAUGGAUGCCACGCUGCGAGCGGCAACAAUCGGCGAUGGCGAUCGUGCAUGGAGGUGA
RNAcentral lists this ribosomal RNA (321 nucleotides) under Triticum aestivum (bread wheat). Its description in RNAcentral is "partial small subunit ribosomal RNA". The record is from RNAcentral. Lineage: Eukaryota; Viridiplantae; Streptophyta; Magnoliopsida; Poales; Poaceae.